UCACCGCAAUUUCCUUUCGCUUCUACGCAUGUGCGAGCUUUGUUUAUAUUUUUCGUUUUGGUGUGAAUCCAUUUCAUUUGCACAACAUGAAGUAUUCAGAAAACUAAAUUAAAAUGGCGGACGCAUCAAGAGUGAAGAGUGGAGCUUUAUAAAACCAUUCAACAAUUGUCUUUUAAAAGACAACCAAAUAAAUAUUUUGAAAAACAACUACUGGAAGAUAUCUCCUGAUUCAGAUUUAUGAGCAAGAUAAUCAUGCUUCAAUGGUCAAAGUAGCUCUUCUGAGUGUGUUUCAUCAUAGACAUCAAUGCCAUGUGGGUCAACAUCACUGAAUGAAACUGCUUCAAUACGAAAGCUUACAAGUGAAGAUAUAGAUAGGAGAGGAUUUUGAUGGCGAGUAUGGUUAUCGAAUGAUUGAACUUUCAAACCUAGCAAGUGCAUUUCAGUCCUUGCAUAAUUGGGAAUUAGGCGGAGAGUUGAAAGUUACCGAUGAUGAGUCUCGUAGAUAUGGAAAUAGCACAGUCAUUGUUGAGUCAGAUAUUGCAGAGAUUGCUGGGCAAAUUGAAAAGAGUCAGGGUGAUAUUGUUGCAGACAAGGAUGUUAUCAUUCGUCGUUCAUGGUUGAAUGAUGCGAAACAUAUGUUACGCUGAUACAGACAGAGCCACAGCAUCGGCAGUCCUUAUAUUGUGGGUUUGGCAUUUCAUUUGCUUAAUCGCACACGUUUUGAUCGCCAGUUGCUAUUGGGGUUGAAUCGGGAAUUUUGUCUUGGGAAGUACUCACGUCUGUUGCAUUGUGAUCUAAUAUAAUUGGAAAGAGCAAAAUAACGUAAAUGAAUUGUAUGCCGGGCAGAAACAGGUAUUGCAUUGAGUUAGGUGCACGCAACUGUUGUAACGAGCAUAAAUAUUCGCAUGCAAGCUGAAUAAGUCAAAUAAAACGAACCUAUUUUGGGUCUCUUUAUUAUUUUUUGCGCGACUUCAAUGGCCUGUAAAUUAGACACAGAAAAAUUUGUA
Molecule: long non-coding RNA, 1007 nt
Organism: Dendronephthya gigantea
Lineage: Eukaryota; Metazoa; Cnidaria; Anthozoa; Malacalcyonacea; Nephtheidae
Exons: 5
Source: RefSeq, a predicted model, not a curated record